GGAGCCGUAAAGGAUCCGCAGCAAAACGCUAAAUUUUUUUAUCACUGUUUAUCAUGAGGUUAUAAAUUUUCGGGCGCGGGUUCAACUCCCGCCAGCUCCACCA
This 103-nucleotide transfer RNA is filed under the name Klebsiella oxytoca. RNAcentral's name for it is "tRNA-OTHER". RNAcentral also lists the same sequence under 2 other names. The record is from RNAcentral. Lineage: Bacteria; Pseudomonadati; Pseudomonadota; Gammaproteobacteria; Enterobacterales; Enterobacteriaceae.